Molecule: ribosomal RNA, 385 nt
Filed under: marine Metazoa environmental sample
Lineage: Eukaryota; Metazoa
Description: SSU rRNA
Rfam family: Eukaryotic small subunit ribosomal RNA
Source: RNAcentral
AGCUCCAAUAGCGUAUACUAAAGUUGUUGCGGUUAAAAAGCUCGUAGUUGGAUCUUGGAAUGUGUUCAAGCGGGUCAGCUUCUGGCUGUUCGCUGCUUGACGUGUUCUUCUAUUUGGUUUUGGUGCGGUGCGCUUAACUGCGUGUCGCUCCCGGCCGAAACGUUUACCUUGAAAAAAUUAGAGUGUUCAAAGCAGACCUGUUUGAGUCUGAAUAUUCGUGCAUGGAAUAAUGAAAUAUGAAUUCGGUUCUAUUUUGUUGGUUUUCGGAACUCGAGUUAAUGAUCAAGAGGGACAGACGGGGGCAUUCGUACUCUGCCGUUAGAGGUGAAAUUCUUGGAUCGGCGGAAGACGCGCAACUGCGAAAGCAUUUGCCAAAAUGUUUUCU